RNAcentral lists this non-coding RNA (86 nucleotides) under Clostridium porci. RNAcentral describes it as "S10-Clostridia ribosomal protein leader". It matches the Rfam family "S10-Clostridia ribosomal protein leader". Lineage: Bacteria; Bacillati; Bacillota; Clostridia; Eubacteriales; Clostridiaceae. RNAcentral also lists the same sequence under 1 other name. The record is from RNAcentral.
UGAUAGCAUUGAAGCGUGAGGUUGCUGACCUCAAUUUGAGGCAGGUUUUCCGUGGAGCGAAUGUCAAGUUAGAAAACUGGCGACAA